GGGUUUGUGGCUCAGUGGGAGAGCAUUUGCUUAGUGUGCUGAAGGUACCAGGUUCAAUUCCCAGUUUCUCCC
RNAcentral lists this transfer RNA (72 nucleotides) under Sphaerodactylus townsendi. RNAcentral's name for it is "tRNA-Thr". The record is from RNAcentral. Lineage: Eukaryota; Metazoa; Chordata; Lepidosauria; Squamata; Sphaerodactylidae.